RNAcentral lists this ribosomal RNA (328 nucleotides) under uncultured eukaryote. Its description in RNAcentral is "partial 18S ribosomal RNA". It matches the Rfam family "Eukaryotic small subunit ribosomal RNA", at positions 1470 to 1796 of the family's 1831-position model. The record is from RNAcentral.
CCCUUAGAUGUUCUGGGCCGCACGCGCGCUACACUGUUCGACGCAGCGAGUCUUAACCUUGACCGAAAGGUUUGGGUAAUCUUCAGCAAAGUCGAACGUGAUGGGGAUCGAUCAUUGCAAUUAUUGAUCGUGAACGAGGAAUUCCUAGUAAGCGCAAGUCAACAGCUUGCGUUGAUUACGUCCCUGCCCUUUGUACACACCGCCCGUCGCUACUACUGAUUGGAUGUUUAAGCGAGGUUCUCGAACUGCUAGCGACUUAGCUUCGGUGAGGUCGCAGUGUGGGGAGUGAACCUAGCUUUGGUGUCUAGAGAAAGUAAAAGUCGUAACA